Molecule: ribosomal RNA, 482 nt
Filed under: uncultured bacterium
Lineage: Bacteria
Description: bacterial SSU rRNA
Rfam family: Bacterial small subunit ribosomal RNA
Source: RNAcentral
GAUCCUGGCUCAGGAUAAACGCUGGCGGCGCACAUAAGACAUGCAAGUCGAACGAACUUAACCAUUAGUUUACUAUUGGAGCGGUUAGUGGCGGACUGGUGAGUAACACGUAAGCAACCUGCCUAUCAGAGGGGAACAACAGUUAGAAAUGACUGCUAAUACCGCAUAUGCCUUGAGUAUCACAUGGUACAAAGGGAAAGGAGCAAUCCGCUGAUAGAUGGGCUUGCGUCUGAUUAGCCAGUUGGUGGGGUAACGGCCUACCAAAGCGACGAUCAGUAGCCGACCUGAGAGGGUGACCGGCCACAUUGGGACUGAGACACGGCCCAAACUCCUACGGGAGGCAGCAGUGGGGAAUAUUGCACAAUGGGGGAAACCCUGAUGCAGCGACGCCGCGUGAACGAAGAAGUAUUUCGGUAUGUAAAGUUCUAUCAGCAGGGAAGAUAAUGACGGUACCUGACUAAGAAGCACCGGCUAAAUACGUG